GUCUGCGUGUGUUUCAGGAAGCCGAGAAACGAAAGCGACGGCGGCGGCUUUGAAGGGCGGCAGCCCGCCCCGGCACUUUGAUCUGCGGGGCGGCCCCGGCCGGUCCCCGUCGUGUCCCCCCCCCCCCCCCCACGGGAGACGCCGCUCACGCAGGGCCGGAGGGGGGAGAAGCCUUCCCCGGGGCCCCCCGCGCCCUCUGCAUGCGUGUUCGUGGCGUGAUUUGGGGUUCGAGCAGGCGAGCCGUGCUCGGAGCGUCGCCGAUCGGGACUGACCCGCCUUUGCUGAUUACUUCAGUACUCAUCUCUCUUUUUGAAAUGGGUGGAUGCCUACCCACAUCAAUAAGUGAGUCCGUGGAGAAAGUAUGCAAAUACACGCUGUUACACUUUUAUUAUUUUGUGUGCAUACACACGCAUAUAUACCUGUACCCCUGCGUUACUUUCACAAUACUUACCUUAUUUUCACAGACUGACUUCUGAUAGUCCCCGUUGUGCUGCUGCCUGCCCCGCUGUGUGUGUGUGGGGGGGGAAUCCAGAGUUCUGGCUUUGGUGGUGUCGUUUUUCAGCAGCAGCUCCUGAGAAAUACAGGAAUCGCUUUGUAGGCAAGUGCUCUGCUCAGUGGGUGCAGGAUCUAGUCAUUAGCAUUUCUUUAUCUUCAUCAUAUUCAGAGCAAACACGAUCCCUGCACCAGGCACAGCCUGCCUGACAAAGCUGUGUGUUCGUGAUUUUUGUCGGCCUGUUUAUUUUUAGGGUCUUAGCGCCUGUUUGUAGAGAAUAGUUGUUCCAUCGUCAUAGCAACCAGGCUGAGUGUAUUAUAAACAUUAUUAAAGGAAACCUUUUCCAUCUUAAAUGUGACUUCCUUUUCAUAAUAAAGCUAGGAUCAACA
This is a long non-coding RNA of Tyto alba (common barn owl), 882 nucleotides long. RefSeq lists it as uncharacterized. The record is from RefSeq and is a predicted model, not a curated record. The transcript is spliced from 2 exons. NCBI's taxonomy places the organism in Eukaryota, Metazoa, Chordata, Aves, Strigiformes, Tytonidae.